This 497-nucleotide ribosomal RNA is filed under the name uncultured beta proteobacterium. RNAcentral describes it as "bacterial SSU rRNA". It matches the Rfam family "Bacterial small subunit ribosomal RNA", at positions 907 to 1406 of the family's 1533-position model. The record is from RNAcentral. Lineage: Bacteria; Pseudomonadati; Pseudomonadota; Betaproteobacteria.
GAAUUGACGGGGACCCGCACAAGCGGUGGAUGAUGUGGAUUAAUUCGAUGCAACGCGAAAAACCUUACCUACCCUUGACAUGUCACUAACGAAAGUAGAGAUACAUUAGGUGCUCGUAAGAGAAAGUGAACACAGGUGCUGCAUGGCUGUCGUCAGCUCGUGUCGUGAGAUGUUGGGUUAAGUCCCGCAACGAGCGCAACCCUUGUCUUUAGUUGCUACGCAAGAGCACUCUAAAGAGACUGCCGGUGACAAACCGGAGGAAGGUGGGGAUGACGUCAAGUCCUCAUGGCCCUUAUGGGUAGGGCUUCACACGUCAUACAGUGGUGCAUACAGAGGGUUGCCAACCCGCGAGGGGGAGCUAAUCUCAGAAAAUGCAUCGUAGUCCGGAUCGUAGUCUGCAACUCGACUACGUGAAGCUGGAAUCGCUAGUAAUCGCGGAUCAGAAUGUCGCGGUGAAUACGUUCCCGGGUCUUGUACACACCGCCCGUCAUACCAUG